GCCCAGACUCCUACGGGAGGCAGCAGUGAGGAAUAUUGGUCAAUGGUCGGGAGACUGAACCAGCCAAGCCGCGUGAGGGAGGAAGGUACAGAGUAUCGUAAACCUCUUUUGUCAGGGAACAAAGGCGGGGACGUGUCCCCGGAUGAGUGUACCUGAAGAAAAAGCAUCGGCUAACUCCGUGCCAGCAGCCGCGGUAAUACGGAGGAUGCGAGCGCUAUCCGGAUUUAUUGGGUUUAAAGGGUGCGUAGGCGGGAUGCCAAGUCAGCGGUAAAAAUGCGGUGCUCAACGCCGUCGAGCCGUUGAAACUGGCGUUCUUGAGUGGGCGAGAAGUAUGCGGAAUGCGUGGUGUAGCGGUGAAAUGCAUAGAUAUCACGCAGAACUCCGAUUGCGAAGGCAGCUUACUAAACUGUGACUGACAUUGAUGCUCGAAAGUGUGGGUAUCAAACAGGAUUAGAUACCCUCGUA
RNAcentral lists this ribosomal RNA (465 nucleotides) under uncultured bacterium. Its description in RNAcentral is "bacterial SSU rRNA". It matches the Rfam family "Bacterial small subunit ribosomal RNA", at positions 329 to 792 of the family's 1533-position model. The record is from RNAcentral.